GGUUCCAUGGUGUAAUAAUAGUGAGCAUUCUGGACUCUGAAUCCAGGGAUCUGAGUAGGAGUCUCGGUGGAACCU
This 75-nucleotide transfer RNA is filed under the name Callithrix jacchus (white-tufted-ear marmoset). It matches the Rfam family "tRNA". Rfam says of the family: Transfer RNA (tRNA) molecules are approximately 80 nucleotides in length. Their secondary structure includes four short double-helical elements and three loops (D, anti-codon, and T loops). Lineage: Eukaryota; Metazoa; Chordata; Mammalia; Primates; Cebidae. The record is from Rfam by way of RNAcentral.